CACGUGGGUAACCUGCCCAAGAGACUGGGAUAACACCUGGAAACAGAUGCUAAUACCGGAUAACAACACUAGACGCAUGUCUAGAGUUUAAAAGAUGGUUCUGCUAUCACUCUUGGAUGGACCUGCGGUGCAUUAGCUAGUUGGUAAGGUAACGGCUUACCAAGGCAAUGAUGCAUAGCCGAGUUGAGAGACUGAUCGGCCACAUUGGGACUGAGACACGGCCCAAACUCCUACGGGAGGCAGCAGUU
RNAcentral lists this ribosomal RNA (248 nucleotides) under uncultured bacterium. RNAcentral's name for it is "partial 16S ribosomal RNA". It matches the Rfam family "Bacterial small subunit ribosomal RNA", at positions 114 to 355 of the family's 1533-position model. The record is from RNAcentral.